RNAcentral lists this ribosomal RNA (274 nucleotides) under uncultured bacterium. Its description in RNAcentral is "partial 16S ribosomal RNA". It matches the Rfam family "Bacterial small subunit ribosomal RNA", at positions 523 to 796 of the family's 1533-position model. The record is from RNAcentral.
AUACAGAGGCUGCAAGCGUUAAUCGGAAUUACUGGGCAUAAAGCGCGCGUCGGUGGUUUGGUCAGUCAGAUGUGAAAGCCCUGGGCUCAACCUGGGAACUGCAUUUGAUACUGCUAAGCUCGAGUAUAGUAGAGGGAAGUGGAAUUCCACAUGUAGCGGUGAAAUGCGUAGAUAUGUGGAGGAACAUCAGUGGCGAAGGCGGCUUCCUGGACUAAUACUGACACUGAGGUGCGAAAGCGUGGGGAGCAAACAGGAUUAGAAACCCUAGUAGUCC